Molecule: ribosomal RNA, 423 nt
Filed under: Triticum aestivum (bread wheat)
Lineage: Eukaryota; Viridiplantae; Streptophyta; Magnoliopsida; Poales; Poaceae
Description: partial small subunit ribosomal RNA
Source: RNAcentral
CAGCAGUACUGGUCCCUGGAAGGAGUCCAGGAGGUGUUCGGCGACAAGGUGCACGUCGACCGCCUCGACAGCCGCACGCUGGAGCGCGACCACAUCAAGCACUUCGCCUGCUGGGUGUGGGUCUGGGACAUGGCCUUUAUCCCCACCAAGCACACCUACUGGAAGCUCCCCCAGGGCGCAGGCCGCGUCGAGGAGAUGGAGGGCUACUCGCCACCGGAUCGGCCGGUCGCCCUGCCACCUGGCGCCGAGCGCUACGAUCUGCUCAUCCACGUCGAUAGGGUGGAGGACUGGUCCCCCCGCUCGUGGCGCUCCUCGCACUCCGCUCAGAGCGGCCUGCCCCUCCUCCGGCUCCGACCACGACGACAGCCUGCCGCGCGACUACCCCGGCACCUGGAUACUGCACAUGGAGGACAGCCAGGCUGA